AGUCGAACGGUAACAGGAAGCAGCUUGCUGCUUCGCUGACGAGUGGCGGACGGGUGAGUAAUGUCUGGGAAACUGCCUGAUGGAGGGGGAUAACUACUGGAAACGGUAGCUAAUACCGCAUAACGUCGCAAGACCAAAGAGGGGGACCUUCGGGCCUCUUGCCAUCGGAUGUGCCCAGAUGGGAUUAGCUAGUAGGUGGGGUAACGGCUCACCUAGGCGACGAUCCCUAGCUGGUCUGAGAGGAUGACCAGCCACACUGGAACUGAGACACGGUCCAGACUCCUACGGGAGGCAGCAGUGGGGAAUAUUGCACAAUGGGCGCAAGCCUGAUGCAGCCAUGCCGCGUGUAUGAAGAAGGCCUUCGGGUUGUAAAGUACUUUCAGCGGGGAGGAAGGCGAUAAGGUUAAUAACCUUGUCGAUUGACGUUACCCGCAGAAGAAGCACCGGCUAACUCCGUGCCAGCAGCCGCGGUAAUACGGAGGGUGCAAGCGUUAAUCGGAAUUACUGGGCGUAAAGCGCACGCAGGCGGUCUGUCAAGUCGGAUGUGAAAUCCCCGGGCUCAACCUGGGAACUGCAUUCGAAACUGGCAGGCUAGAGUCUU
RNAcentral lists this ribosomal RNA (601 nucleotides) under uncultured bacterium. RNAcentral describes it as "bacterial SSU rRNA". It matches the Rfam family "Bacterial small subunit ribosomal RNA", at positions 60 to 650 of the family's 1533-position model. The record is from RNAcentral.